GAGAGAUUUUCGGCUUGCAAUAGUGUCAUUUACAGAUGGAUUUGCAGCGGCGAAUUACAAGUUUGUAAGCAACAGCUUCUCUGACGCCUCGAAGAAAAAAAAAAAGCCUUAUCCCUUUGCAAAUUAUAAAUUCAUAACUAACAGUGUUAUCCAACUGAAUGCAAAACAAAUUCAUUACCAGCUACAUUAUUCCACUGAAUACCAAGUGAAUGAACCGCACAGGGUUUUGUGCGGAUUAGGGACAUGGCAGGAGAUGGGGCCAAAACAGCCCUCCCCCAGUUCCUCUUUUUUGUGUCCCUUCAGGCCCACCUCAAGCUAACCCCAAACGGAGGCAGAACUGGCUGGAUAAAAGGAGGCUGGAGGCUACGGUGGUGAUGGUGAUCUUCCAAAACACAGCCACGCUGCUGAUGAGGGAACGGACCAGUUCGCACUUGCCCGAGGUCGCCCCGCCCUCCGGUGACACAGCCACCUUCUGUCGGCCGGGACACUCCACCGACCAGGCUCCCACCCUCAGGCGAGCGCAGACCAGGCUCCGGAGUGGGAUCAGGAAGGGCACCGGGGACAUCUGAACCUGUCUUGUCCCACAUUCAAAGCUGGGGUGGAGGAGGCAUGCUUGGGGGCUUGAGCCUGUGACUGAGCAUGAUGGGGACAUCAGCUUCGCCCUCCAAAUGCCCAUCACCGGAUGCCACAUCUCGGGCCACAGCAGGGCCCCAUCCUCUGCCCUCUGCAUCCAGUAGAGGUGCAGUGUCAGAAGGAGCACACCCGCAGAGGAGCAGAGCCAGGGAGGAGACCAGAACCCGUGCCAGAGGAGUAUGUGACUUGGAGUUCAGAAGACCCAGGGGGACCUGAGAACUGCCUUCAAGGAAGCAGAGGGAUUUGUUUUCUCGACUGUAAGUCUCCACUGAGGGCUACUCUGCCAGGUGCUGGGAGUGUAUGGCCCCAGUCCCUGUGGGGGUCCCAGAGUGGCAGAGGCGGUGGGCAGGAACAUGUUAUGUUUAUAACUAAUGCUGCUGCAGGGAAUGCUUUAGGGACGGGGCCACGUCGUCCUGAUGGGAGUUGUAGGAGACAAUCAAUUGGCCUGAUUUGGAGCUAGGGGGUUUGCUGGCUCCCUGAGGCAAGGAUGCAAAGACUCCUCUGGAGUUGAGUUUGGCCCUUCGGUGUUUAUUCAAGAUGGCACCCGGGCUCCUGGGCACCCAUUGUCCUUGACUCUGCUUCCUGAAUUAGGGCCCCUGUGUGGCCUGGGCGGGGGACGAGUGGCCCACUGGGCUGACCUCCCAGAAGGCAGGGGUUGCGUUUUCCCUUUCUUCUAACUACCCAGAGCUAGAAGACCAUGGUUGUCCAUGGGUUGUGGGUUGAAGGUCCCGGGCAGUACAGCAGCAUUCUGUCCCCCUUCCUUGAGAGAUAGAUAGCCGUCAGCUUCCUCUCCUCUCCCGUCCCCCUCUUCAUGUGGGCUGAGUCCUAGACAUCUUUAGGUGAUUGAAGACUGCUUUGUAACACUGCCACGGGGUGGAUUCAGACUUGUUGAUGUGAUACUUGAGCUUUCUUAGUCUGCCAGAGCUGAGUUCCACGUACCUGCACACACACACACACACACACACACACACACACUCCUUAACACGAAUACAUGCCGGCUCUCAUUGUGAGGGCCCCACUCUUUAUUCAAGCAGCGGUCUCGGGUGUCUGAAUGGAUGCUUGAAGACUCCCUCUUUGCAAUUAACACGCUGCUGCAGUAUUAUUAGCCUCUGAUAGGCAGGUCUGCCUUUGCCAGAGACUAUAAAUAUGUGGGGCCAAUGACUCAGCAAAUCUGUUGCUAUUUUUCUUGCAGAUCCGUGUGGAUCUGUCUGUGUACACGAUGGCCCCCUCUCCCAGCAGCUCCCAUGGCUUGUAUCCAUGGAAACGCAAUCCUCCCAACUACAGUACUCUGGCUGACAAACACCGGGAGUCUCCCCAGCCCCCUACCCACUUUGGAGAGGGAACGUGGACCUGGAGAGCUCCCGGUGAGCAAGAGGGUGGCCCCGAUGGAGGAGGUGCCACUUUCUCAGUUGCUUUGAAGGUCUAGGCAAGGCUGGCCUCUAACCGCCCUACCCCCGCAA
RNAcentral lists this long non-coding RNA (2093 nucleotides) under Felis catus (domestic cat). RNAcentral's name for it is "lncRNA (ENSFCAG00000049961.1)". Lineage: Eukaryota; Metazoa; Chordata; Mammalia; Carnivora; Felidae. The record is from RNAcentral.